AUCCUUUUGUAGUUCAUGAGGAUGAUGAUUGGGUUUUCAUGCACGUGUGUGAGAUAUGCUACCCUGGAACCUUGUUAUGACAUCUGCACAUUACCCAUCUGACC
Molecule: small nucleolar RNA, 104 nt
Organism: Gorilla gorilla gorilla (western lowland gorilla)
Lineage: Eukaryota; Metazoa; Chordata; Mammalia; Primates; Hominidae
Source: Ensembl